GUGAAAUUGUUGAAAGGGAAACGUUUCAAGUCAGUCGCGUCGGCUGGUAAUCAACCUUUGCAACCUUGCUAGGCUUACUUUCCAGUUGACGGGUCAGCAUCAAUUUUGACCGUUAGAUAAAGGCGUGAGGAAGGUGGCAUCUUCGGAUGUGUUAUAGCCUCUCGUCACAUGUGAUGGUUGGGAUUGAGGAACUCAGCAUGCCUUUACUGGUCGGGGCUUUGGCCCACGUAACAUGCUCAGGAUGCUGGCAUAAUGGCUUGAACCGACCCGUCUUGAAACACGGACCAAGGAGUC
Molecule: ribosomal RNA, 294 nt
Filed under: uncultured fungus
Lineage: Eukaryota; Fungi
Description: partial 28S ribosomal RNA
Rfam family: Eukaryotic large subunit ribosomal RNA
Source: RNAcentral